GUUGAUGUCUGUGGUCCCAGCUGCUUGGGAGGCUGAGGCAGGAGAAUGGCGUGAACCCAGGAGGCGGAGCUUGCAGUGAGCCGAGACACCACUGCACUCCAGCCUGGGCAACAGAGCGAGACUCUGUCUAAAAAAAAAAAAAAAGAACUACCCAGAUGAGAGGUGAGGAGCCAAGCCAUUGAAAGCGGAACAAACCUUCUGGUUUUCCCAACUUCUGACACGACUUUCAACUUUAGUCAAUAUGGUAAUUGGCAUUCUCAGAAGAGAUCACGAAAGUGUCUUACUCUCUCUCAAAUUGAAAUUCACAAAGAUUAAAACUAAUUGAGAGGUGGCACAAUCAUAGCCAUGAACUCUGAUUUUCUUAAGUAAAAAACCUUUUUUUUUUUUUUUUGUUUUUGAGAUAGAGUCUGGCUCUGUCACCUAGGCUGGAGUGCAAUGGUGCAAUCUCAGCUCAGUGCAACCUCUGCUUCCUGGGUUCAAGCGAUUCUCCUGCCUUAGCCUCCCGAGUAGCUGGGAUUACAGGUGCCCACCACCACGCCCAGCUAAUUUUUGUAUUUCAGUAGAGACGAAGUUUCACCAUGUUGGCCAGGUGGGUCUCAAACUCCUGACCUCAGGUUAUCUGCACACCUCAGCCUCUUAAAGUUCUGGGAUUACAGGCGUGAGCCAUUGUGCCCGGCCCAUAAAAGAACUUUAUUAUAUUUCUAAAAUUCAAUCAUAUGGAAGAAUCUAUUGAGCAGGUUAGCCUUUGCUUAACUUUCCUCCUCUGUUACUCCAGCCUUAGCUGGGGUGUUUUGUAGAAUUUUCAGAGCAUGGGAGACAGACAACUAGAGCUUCCUCCUGCCCUUGGCCCAUGCUUUUAGGAGAGCAAAAGGCAAAAGAUUGAAACCACUGACUUUAGUUUCCUCAGGCCCUUUCUUUCUGAGGGUUAAAGAAGAAGGAAAUGUCUUCUGUGGCCAAGAAUUCAAGGACUUGUAGGAGAUAAGUGAAGGCUAUUACAGGGAUUUUGUCCUGGUUUGGUAGGUUUCUCUUGGAGAAAUACCACUACACCCUGGUCUAGAAAUGAGUUUUGAAGACUUGGGGAGUUAAAGGGCACUGAGUUUUACUCUCACUGUACCCUGAUUCCAGGUUUUACAUGGAGAAAUAACCUGAGGGACUUUAUUUCUAUCCAAUGCCCUGGUUUCCAUCCUGACCAGAGGAUGAUGACAUCCGCUGAUAGGCCAUGCUUCUGUCUUCUCUUAUGUGCCUCAUGCCAAGCCUCGAAAUAUACCUUCUGGACCAUCAUUUCCACAUCUACCUUGUGACUAGAAGUCCUAGUUAUGGUAUUUUGAAAUUUAUGAUCCAUAAUCCUUGCCAGAAAUCCUGCAGCGAACUAUGGCAUGGCAUCAUCCUAGUCAUUGAUUUCAAUCUUUUGCCUUUUGCUCCCCUAAAAUCUUGGGCCAAUUGCAGGAGGAAGCUCUAUUUGUCUCUCUUCCAUGCUCUGAAAAUUAUAUAAAAGCAUCCCAGCUAAGGCUGGAGUGAAGGGGUUGGGGAAAGUUAAGCAAAGGCUAACUUGACCAAUAGGCUCAAUAGAUUCAGUCUUGUUGGCCAGGCCCACUUGAAGGGUUUUUUGUUUCAUCUUGGAGAAGGACAGUGAGGUCAUGGUAUAAUUGUUAUGAGUAAAGUCAAGAACAGCUUCUAGGUAAAAGUAAUUAUGUACCCAAAAGGAGUUGAAGGGAAAAUCAAUUUAGGUUUACAUUAAACAUCCUUCAAGUUCUUAUCUUUAAAUGGAGUUUCAGUGUCUCCCAAAGGCUGGAUGAGUUUUACAGUUAUAACCACUGGAUUGUGAGACCAUAGGACAUUUGAACAAUCUUUUCUUCUACCCAUCUAGAAAAGCAUCUUUUUUAUAUACCAAAUUUUUACACAUAUAUCCACAUCUGUUUUUGAAAUCUAGAGCAGAGGUACUCAAAGUUUGGUUCAUGGACUAGUGCCAGUUCACAAAUUGUUAAUGUUUUAUAAUGAGAUAAGUACGGAAGUUGAGAGUAACCAUUUAGAAACUGUGUAGGAAUUUAAAAAGUAAUAUCUGACAAAUUUAAUAAUAAAAAUGGAGGCUUGUA
RNAcentral lists this long non-coding RNA (2093 nucleotides) under Homo sapiens (human). RNAcentral describes it as "HSALNT0375535". Lineage: Eukaryota; Metazoa; Chordata; Mammalia; Primates; Hominidae. The record is from RNAcentral.